UACGAGCGGCCCAAACGUUAUUCGGAAUUACUGGGCUUAAAGAGUUCGUAGGCGGCGCAGAAAGUAGGGUGUGAAAGCCCUCGGCUCAACCGAGGAAUUGCGCCCUAAACUACUGUGCUUGAGGAACCUAGAGGUGAGCGGAACUGAUGGUGGAGCGGUGAAAUGCGUUGAUAUCAUCAGGAACACCGGAGGCGAAGGCGGCUCACUGGGGGUUAUCUGACGCUGAGGAACGAAAGCCAGGGGAGCGAACGGG
This 253-nucleotide ribosomal RNA is filed under the name uncultured bacterium. RNAcentral describes it as "partial 16S ribosomal RNA". It matches the Rfam family "Bacterial small subunit ribosomal RNA", at positions 524 to 776 of the family's 1533-position model. The record is from RNAcentral.